Molecule: ribosomal RNA, 432 nt
Filed under: uncultured bacterium
Lineage: Bacteria
Description: partial 16S ribosomal RNA
Rfam family: Bacterial small subunit ribosomal RNA
Source: RNAcentral
ACGAACGCUGGCGGCAUGCCUAACCCAUGCCAGUCGAACGAGACCUUCGGGUCUAGUGGCGCACGGGUGCGUAACGCGUGGGAACCUGCCCUUAGGUUCGGAAUAACUCCCCGAAAGGGGUGCUAAUACCGGAUAAUGUCUUCGGACCAAAGAUUUAUCGCCUUUGGAUGGGCCCGCGUUGGAUUAGCUAGUUGGUAGGGUAAAAGCCUACCAAGGCGACGAUCCAUAGCUGGUCUGAGAGGAUGAUCAGCCACACUGGGACUGAGACACGGCCCAGACUCCUACGGGAGGCAGCAGUGGGGAAUAUUGGACAAUGGGCGAAAGCCUGAUCCAGCAAUGCCGCGUGAGUGAUGAAGGCCUUAGGGUUGUAAAGCUCUUUUACCCGGGAUGAUAGUGACAGUACCGGGAGAAUAAGCUCCGGCUAACUCCGUG